UAUUGACUCAGUGGUUAGAGUGUUAAAUUCAAGAUCAAUAGGAUGUAGGUUCAAUCCUGCCAUAAGAU
Molecule: non-coding RNA, 68 nt
Organism: Potamilus streckersoni
Lineage: Eukaryota; Metazoa; Mollusca; Bivalvia; Unionida; Unionidae
Source: the annotation of a GenBank genome assembly